Long non-coding RNA from Pantherophis guttatus, 619 nucleotides. RefSeq lists it as uncharacterized. The record is from RefSeq and is a predicted model, not a curated record. NCBI's taxonomy places the organism in Eukaryota, Metazoa, Chordata, Lepidosauria, Squamata, Colubridae.
AGGGAAUGUAGAUUUAAUAGCUGUAAACUGAUGGAGGGUUGUAAGCAGAGGCAAUUGAAAGCUGAUGCAAUGGGAAUGAUUCAGGAUCUGGCAUCGCCAGUUUAAGACUCUGGUGGGGUCCACACAAGACUUCUACCCUUUUAAGAGGUGUCUAUAUAUAGGUGACCAUUAGAAGGUGUAGCUUUCUCUCGUCGUGUAUCUCAUUGCUCUUCUUGUGUCCAUAGCUGUAUGAUAAAGUAUCUACCACGUACAUGUCUGUAUAUAUUUAGUUGUAUAUAAAACCACUGUUAAUUAUUUAAAGGCUCUGUGUGCUGUGUUUUGCUCCUGGGUUUAUCUCAUAAUACUAGUCACUCUGCAAAACUCUGACAGGUUAUGGGCCCAGUCCAGAGAGAGGGCCAGAGUAACUAGAGAGCCUAGAGAGAAGAGAAUCCCAUUGUGAGCUGGCACCAGAGAUGAGGUUGUUGUUUUAUAAACAGCAUUCAGUACUGGGUGCCAGAUGAAAGCAUAGCCAAGAGAUUAGAUUACAUUAUCAAGGGAGAGACACAGGAAGAUGUAUUGAGAAUGGAUCUGCUACUAACCACCAGUAUGAUUCAGUGAGGAUGAGUAUCAAGCAGGCAAG